This is a long non-coding RNA of Sander lucioperca (pikeperch), 106 nucleotides long. RefSeq lists it as uncharacterized. Lineage: Eukaryota; Metazoa; Chordata; Actinopteri; Perciformes; Percidae. The record is from RefSeq and is a predicted model, not a curated record. The transcript is spliced from 3 exons.
AAGCUGUGUUUCUUGCACAAAUACUACUGCUACUCUAUAUAGCCUGAAGCCCCGCCCCUAAAAUUGGAACAUACCAACAAUAUAAUACAAUGCAGGGGCGGCUCAG